GUAACACGUGGAUCCAUCUACCUUCUGGUGGGGAAUACCUGGGAAACCGGGGCUAAUACCGCAUUGAGCCCGCGAGGGGAAAGCAGCAAUGCGCCGGAAGAGGAGUCCGGGUGAUUAGCUUGAUGGUAGGGUAACGGCUACCAUGGGAAGAUCGGUACCGGCUGAGAGGGCACACGGCACACUGGCACUUGAAACACGGGCCAACUCCUACGGGAGGCAGCAGUGGGGAAUCUUGCACAAUGGAGGAAACUCUGAUGCAGGACGCCGGUGAGCGAUGAAAGCCCCUUCGGGGGUGUAAAGCUCUUUCGACGGGAACGAUAAUGACGGUACCCGAAGAAGAAGCUGCGGCUAACUACGUGCCAGCAGCCGCGGUAAUACGUAGGCAGCAAGCGUUGUUCGGAAUUACUGGGCGUAAAGAGUGCGUAGGCGGUGCUCUAAGUCUGUUGUGAAAUCUCCCGGUCAACUGGGAGGGUGCGGGGAAACUGGAGUG
This 490-nucleotide ribosomal RNA is filed under the name uncultured bacterium. RNAcentral describes it as "bacterial SSU rRNA". It matches the Rfam family "Bacterial small subunit ribosomal RNA", at positions 110 to 640 of the family's 1533-position model. The record is from RNAcentral.